AGUGAGCGCUGGCGGUAGGCCUAACACAUGCAAGUCGAACGGCAGCACAGUAAGAGCUUGCUCUUACGGGUGGCGAGUGGCGGACGGGUGAGGAAUACAUUGGAAUCUACUUUUUCGUGGGGGAUAACGUAGGGAAACUUACGCUAAUACCGCAUACGACCUACGGGUGAAAGCAGGGGAGCUUCGGACCUUGCGCGAUUGAAUGAGCCGAUGUCGGAUUAGGUAGUUGGCGGGGUAAAGCCCCACCAAGGGGACGAUCCGUAGCUGGUCUGAGAGGAUAAUCGGCCACUCUUGAGCUGUGACACGAGCCAGACUCCUACGGGAGGCAGCAGUGGGGAAUAUUGGACAGAGGGCGCAAGCCUGAUCCAGCCAUACCGCGUGGGUGAAGAAGGCCUUCGGGUUGUAAAGCCCUUUUGUUGGGAAAGAAAAGCAUCAGGUUAAUACCCCGCUGUUCUGACGGUACCCAAAGAAUAAGCACCGGCUAACUUCGU
Molecule: ribosomal RNA, 491 nt
Filed under: uncultured bacterium
Lineage: Bacteria
Description: partial 16S ribosomal RNA
Rfam family: Bacterial small subunit ribosomal RNA
Source: RNAcentral